Non-coding RNA from Gossypium hirsutum (cotton), 72 nucleotides. Lineage: Eukaryota; Viridiplantae; Streptophyta; Magnoliopsida; Malvales; Malvaceae. The record is from Rfam.
GUUUCCUUGGUCUAGUGGUCAGGACAUUGCACUCUGAAUCCAGUAACCCGAGUUCAAAUCUCGGUGGAACCU